CCUACGGGAGGCAGCAGCUGAGAAUCUUCCUCAAUGGCCGAAAGGCUGAAGGAGCGACGCCGCGUGACUGUGAGCCCUUCGGGGUGUAAAGUUCUUUUGUUUGGGAACAAGCUC
RNAcentral lists this ribosomal RNA (114 nucleotides) under uncultured bacterium. Its description in RNAcentral is "partial 16S ribosomal RNA". It matches the Rfam family "Bacterial small subunit ribosomal RNA", at positions 338 to 453 of the family's 1533-position model. The record is from RNAcentral.